UCCCCACGGGCAAUGGGCAAAGAGAUACCUUUUUGGUGCUAUUUUUCUUACAUCAGUCAGGGGCAGAGCAGAUGGCAGUCCUUUGUUCAUCCUAACUUGAUGUCCGGCUGGCUGACCAAAGCUGUUUUAUGCAUAGGACACAGAA
Small nucleolar RNA from Mus pahari (shrew mouse), 145 nucleotides. RefSeq annotates it as small nucleolar RNA SNORA48. The transcript has a single exon. Lineage: Eukaryota; Metazoa; Chordata; Mammalia; Rodentia; Muridae. The record is from RefSeq and is a predicted model, not a curated record.